GACGAACGCUGGCGGCGUGCUUAACACAUGCAAGUCGAACGAACAGCGAUGGAAGCUUGCUUCUAUCAAUCUUAGUGGCGCACGGGUGAGUAACGCGUAAUCAACCUGCCCUUCAGAGGGGGACAACAGUUGGACACGACUGCUAAUACCGCAUACGAUCUAACCUCGGCAUCGAGGAUGGAUGAACGGUGGCCUCUAUUUAUAAGCUAUCACUGAAGGAGGGGAUUGCGUCUGAUUAGGUAGCUGGGGAGGUAACGGCCCACCAAUGCGAUGAUCAGUAGCCGGUCUGAGAGGAUGAACGGCCACAUUGGGACUGAGACACGGCCCAGACUCCUACGGGAGGCAGCAGUGGGGGAUCUUUCGCAAGAGACGAAAGUCUGGAGGAGCAACGCCGCGGGAGGGAUGACGGCCCUCGGGUUGGAAAGCUCUGUUUAUCGGGAAGAAAGGCAUUCGUGCGAAUAGUUAGAAGGAUUGACGGUACCGGAAUAGAAAGCCACGGCUAACUACGUG
RNAcentral lists this ribosomal RNA (510 nucleotides) under uncultured bacterium. RNAcentral describes it as "partial 16S ribosomal RNA". It matches the Rfam family "Bacterial small subunit ribosomal RNA", at positions 28 to 507 of the family's 1533-position model. The record is from RNAcentral.